UUUGGGCUUGGGAGCUCAGCUCACUGUGCACUGCCGCGGACCCACACCCAAUACGAUCAACCAAAGAAAAGAAGCAGCUUGGGGUCCGUCCGUCUCUCCAUUCUGCACGGCGGCGGCGGCGGCGAUUCAUGGACACGGGCGAGCUCUUCAACCCAGACUGCGGCGGGGCGCACGGCGCCGGCUGCGACUGCGGGGACUGCGAGGAGUGGAGGCGCUACUUCUACUGGAACCACGACCACGGCGACGGCGGCACCAACAAGUUCCUCCUCUUCGCCUCCCACGACAAAGAUAAUCUGAUAGUGUGAAAUCAAUGCGCACAAACGGUGAAACCUAUAUCUGACUCUUAACCUGAUGAGGACAUGACUACCUUGGAUACGACCAAAAAUAUUGCAUACAUGCAUAUUUGUCAGGUGAUUUUUAGUGCAAACUAUUCAAUAAUCUAUUUAUGUUAUCCAGAACAAAAAUACUUCACACACUUUU
Long non-coding RNA from Triticum aestivum (bread wheat), 480 nucleotides. RefSeq lists it as uncharacterized. The record is from RefSeq and is a predicted model, not a curated record. Lineage: Eukaryota; Viridiplantae; Streptophyta; Magnoliopsida; Poales; Poaceae. The transcript is spliced from 3 exons.